GAUGAACGCUGGCGGCGUGCUUAACACAUGCAAGUCGAACGGAAAGGCCCAAGCUUGCUUGGGUACUCGAGUGGCGAACGGGUGAGUAACACGUGGGUGACCUGCCCUGCACUUCGGGAUAAGCCUGGGAAACUGGGUCUAAUACCGGAUAGGACCACCUCUUGCAUGUUGUGGUGGAGAGUUUUUGCGGUGUGGGAUGAGCACGCGGCCUAUCAGCUUGUUUGGGGGGUAGUGGCCUACCAAGGCGUCGACGGGUGGCCGGCCUGAGAGGGUGUACGGCCACAAUUGGGGAGAGAGAUGGGGCAGACACCUGCGGGGGGGAGAGGAGGGGGAAAUAGCACAAAGUGGGCGAGCCUGUGGCGGAGAAGCGGCGUGGGGGGUGAGGGCGUUCGGGGUGUGAACUCCUUUCGCUAGGGAGGAAGCGUGUGUGUGACGGUACCUGGUGAAGAAGCACCGGCUAACUACGUG
Molecule: ribosomal RNA, 468 nt
Filed under: uncultured bacterium
Lineage: Bacteria
Description: partial 16S ribosomal RNA
Rfam family: Bacterial small subunit ribosomal RNA
Source: RNAcentral